CAGCCGCGAGACACCGGCGGCCCGAGUGGUGAUCGUGAUUAUUGGGUCUAAAGGGUCCGUAGCCGGUUUGGUCAGUCCUCCGGGAAAUCUGAUAGCUCAACUAUUAGGGCUUUCGGGGGAUACUGCCAGACUUGGAACCGGGAGAGGUAAGAGGUACUACAGGGGUAGGAGUGAAAUCUUGUAAUCCCUGUGGGACCACCUGUGGCGAAGGCGUCUUACCAGAACGGGUUCGACGGUGAGGGACGAAAGCUGGGGGCACGAACCGGAUUAGAUACCCGGGUAGUCCCAGCCGUAAACGAUGCUCGCUAGGUGUCAGGCAUGGCGCGACCGUGUCUGGUGCCGCAGGGAAGCCGUGAAGCGAGCUACCUGGGAAGUACGGCCGCAAGGCUGAAACUUAAAGGAAUUGGCGGGGGAGCACAACAACGGGUGGAGCCCUGCGGUUUAAUUGGACUCAACGCCGGACAACUCACCGGGGGCGACAGCAAUAUGUAGGCCAAGCUGAAGACUUUGCCUGAAUCGCUGAGAAGUGGUGCAUGG
Molecule: ribosomal RNA, 537 nt
Filed under: uncultured archaeon
Lineage: Archaea
Description: bacterial SSU rRNA
Rfam family: Archaeal small subunit ribosomal RNA
Source: RNAcentral